Molecule: small RNA, 97 nt
Filed under: Leptospira biflexa serovar Patoc strain 'Patoc 1 (Paris)'
Lineage: Bacteria; Pseudomonadati; Spirochaetota; Leptospiria; Leptospirales; Leptospiraceae
Description: Flavo-1 RNA
Rfam family: Flavo-1 RNA
Source: Rfam by way of RNAcentral
UUUUCGCCAGCGAUAGAAGCGGAAAUCCUUUCCUUUUCGCAUACAAAAUUUGAAUCAAUUGGAAUUGGAAAGAUUGGAGCGGAUAGCGCGAUCGUUU